AUACGUAAGAGAUUACGUAGCUGCUUGCAGUCUCUAUACAGGUGCUGCAUGGCGUGUCGUCAGCUCGUGCUGUGAAGUGUUGGGUUAAGUCCCGCAACGAGCGCAACCCCUUUGUCUGUUACCAGCAAGUAAAGUUGGGGACUCAGACGGAACUGCCGGUGACAAACCGGAGGAAGGUGGGACGACGUCAAGUCAUCAUGGCCCUUAUAUCCUGGGCUACACACGUGCUACAACGGCAGGUACAGAGCGAAGCGAAGCAGCGAUGCGGAGCAAAUCGCAGAAAGCCUGUCUCAGUACAGAUUGGAGUCUGAAGCUCGACUCCAUGAAGGUGGAAUCGCUAGUAAUCGCGCAUCAGCAUGGCGCGGUGAAUACGUUCCCGGGCCUU
Molecule: ribosomal RNA, 385 nt
Filed under: uncultured Spirochaeta sp.
Lineage: Bacteria; Pseudomonadati; Spirochaetota; Spirochaetia; Spirochaetales; Spirochaetaceae
Description: bacterial SSU rRNA
Rfam family: Bacterial small subunit ribosomal RNA
Source: RNAcentral